CUCUUGACCUUGUGAUCCGCCCAUCUUGGCCUCCCAAAGUGCUGGGAUUACAGGAGUGAGCCACCGCACCCAGCUCUUCUUUGAGUUUUUAAGGCCACAUAAGCUGUGGAUGUUAUAGAAUUUCUUAUUUCCCUGGGCAGCAACUGGGCCUCUAUUGAGACCCAAAUGCCCUCUUCAGAGGGAACUACGAGGUCAACAAGCACAAUCCCCACAUGUGCAGUGAAGUCUCCAUACGUCCACUCUGGAGGAGGAGAUGACAAGGCAGGGAGGCUGUCAUUUCCUACUUGGGCGGACCCUUCUAGGGGCGGUCUGCUCUGGCCCCUCCGCAAUUCCAGUCAGCAGCCUAGCAUGUCACUCUGGGAGGACCGCAGGAACUAGCAAAUCCAAUAUUCUGCUUACAAAUGGAGAGACGGAGGCCCCAAGAAGAAAGCUAAGAGGUACCAUCAUCAAAGGUAAGGUGAUGGGAAGCUGCCCCAUGCCUCGGUGUUCCACUAUGAGACAGAAGACACAGUGGUUAUAACUGCCACUUACCACUGAUUGUUAAACUCAACUUCAUUUCUUUUUAUUUUUUGCCUUUGCCAUGAUAGAUUUUAUAUCUUAUCACCACAACUGUGUGGUGAUGUGGUUUGGAUGUGUGUCCCCUCCAAAUCUCAUGUUGAAAUGUGGUCCCCAGUGUUGGAGGUGGGGCCUGAUGGGAGGUGUUGGAUCAUGGCAGUGGAUUCCUCAUGCAUGGCUUGGCACUCUCUCCUUGGUGAUGAGUUCCUGCUCUGAGAUGACAACUCAGAUAACUCCAUGCUGUGGUGCUAGCACCUGAGAGACCCAUGACCGAGAGAUCUGCCCCCACAUAUAAAUCCAGAGGGAUGGGGCUGGCCUGCUGCUUCUCUUCAAGAACCAGUAGAGGCUGACGCUGCAGAGAGGGCAGCACCCCAGGGUCAAGGAAAUCACCAACAGAGGGGACCAGCAGGGGUCACCUAAGACCCCAGAACAAGAGAAACCUUUCUUAAUUUGCCACAUCCAGUGAGUUCAAUAGAAGCCUCCUGUUUCAGCCAGGGGUCCCCAGGGAAGCAGAGUAACAGGACAUGCGUGGAUAUGGAAGUGGACAUAAGCACGGGAAUGGAUGAAUAUGGAUAUGGAUAUUGAUAUAGAGAGAGGUCUGCCUCCACCCCAAGAGGACCUCGUGGACGUGGUGCCUCAGGCUCCACCAUCCCCAGGAGAAGAGUGCCAUGCUUGGACUCGUUUUUGCUGUUUUUGGGACAGUGGUGCCAUUCCCCUCCCGUGACUGACUCCUGCGUGCAGUCCCUAAUCUGCCCAUCACCGCCGGGGCACUGUCCACAGCAUUCUGUUGAUUUCCUCCACACUGUCUAACACAACCUGAAACAACCUCAUCUGCCCACCACGUCUCAUCUGUGCCUCCCUGCCUGGAACGGAGCUGCAGGAAGGCAGCGAUGUUUGUCUGGAGGUUCCCUGUUCGCUGGUGCGGGUCUAUGAGGAGGAAACACACAGAAACCAAAAGAUGGAAUCAGGCUGUCUCGGGCCACUUCCUUCCGCCACAGCUCUGCCUGGAGUGCCAGCCCCAGCACAGGUGAAUACACAGAACCAGCGCCUCCCUCCUGGAGCUUUCCUGGGGAGACCAGUGAGGGUGAACAAGGAAGCGGAUAGAGAACUCCCCGCAGCGUAAGUGCAGUGGGGACAUUUGUGGCAGGGAGUGCCUGGGGAGGGUGGUCGGGGAAGGCUGCCCCAAGGAGUUAUCAUCUGAGCAAGACCCAAAAUUGUAAGAAGUAGCACGCGGCGCUCCCAGGGAAGAGCAUGCCAGGCUGGAGGCCCUGCGGAGGGGACAAGUUCAGCAGCUUGGAGGACCAGAGAGAAAUCCAGGUGGGUACUGGCCAAGGUGGAGGUGUGAGAAGGAGGGCUGAGGACGGCUGGGGUCACACAGCACCAAGUUGUACCAGCCCAGGCACAGUUAACCAUUCAUUUUAAGAGCAAGUGAAUCCCACAUGCUUGACCCAAGGAAUUGCUGGAAAGGUGCUGACGGAUCCAAAGGAUGUAGAGUUCAAUGCCAAAGGGUGUGGCAGUCACCUCUCAGAGGCUCGGAGCAAGUGGCAGGGCAAUCAACUCCCCUGCAUUUCCAUCCACAGUGCACUAAAUGCCACUGAAUCAUCCGUCCACAGUGCACUAAAUGCCACUGAAUCGUCCACUCUGGAGUAGUUGAUAAGAUUGUUAACUUAUGUUAUGUGAGCUUCACCGUGAAAUAAAUGUGUGUGUCUUCAUCCACAGCUCCUGCCUCCUAACUCACACAGCCCUGGUUAUAGCCUUUUGUUAUCACGUUGGGGCAGUUUAGGCCUCAGGAAGCUGAAUCUCAAGACCCUAAUCUGACUGUGGGUCAGAAGAUCCUCAUUCCAGGGUGGGUUCUGCCUCAUCCCCUAGAGGAAGAAAUGCUGCCGAGAAGCUGAGAAGAGUCUGGGCCAGGCGUGGUGGCUCAUGCCUGUAAUCCCAAGACUGGGAGCCCAAGGCGGGCAGAUCACCUGAAGUCAGGAGUUCGAGGCCAGCCUGGCCAACACGGCAAAACCCCAUCUGUACUAAAAAUACAAAAAUUAGUCGGGCAUGGUGGCACGUGCCUGUAAAACCAGCUACUGGGGGUGCUGAGCCAGGAGAAUUGCUUGAACCUGGAAGGCAGAGGUUGCAGUGAGCCGAGAUCACACCACUACACUCCAGCCUGGGUGACAAAGUGAGGCUCCGUCUCAAAAAAAAAAAAAAGAAGAAUCUGGACAGACAAGCCCUGCUGAGUUUACACCACGCCCUGUGUAUCCAGUUGCAUUUCUACAUGGUUGUCAAUCAUUCCUGUCCAACGAUGUCUCCAUCAAAGGCCCAAGAGGACAGGGUUCAGGGACCUUUCAGAGAGCUGACCACGCAGAGGCUCCUGGAGGGGCUGCCCAGGGAGGGCAUGGCAGCUCCACGCCCCUUCCCCGUACCUCGUCUGUGCAUCUCUUCAUGUAUAUUCUUUGCAAUAUCACUUAUAAUAAACCAGGAAACGUGUU
RNAcentral lists this long non-coding RNA (3035 nucleotides) under Homo sapiens (human). RNAcentral describes it as "HSALNT0371780". The record is from RNAcentral. Lineage: Eukaryota; Metazoa; Chordata; Mammalia; Primates; Hominidae.